GUUGACACUGUGUCCAUCAUCAUGUUCAUCCUCUGUAUCAGGUUGACACUGCGUCCAUCAUCAUGUUCAUCCUCUGUAUCAGGUUGACACUGUGUCCAUCAUCAUGUUCAUCCUCUGUAUCAGGUUGACACUGUGUCCAUCAUCAUGUUCAUCCUCUGUAUCAGGUUGACACUGUGUCCAUCAUCAUGUUCAUCCUCUAUAUCAGGUUGACACUGUGUCAGGUAAAGCACAUCAGGUUGACACUGUGUCAGGUAAAGCACAACAGGUUGACACUGUUUCAGGUAAAGCACAUCAGGUUGACACUGUGUCAGGUAAAGCACAACAGGUUGACACUGUUUCAGGUAAAGCACAUCAGGUUGACACUGUGUCAGGUAAAGCACAACAGAUUGACACUGUUUCUAGGACAUUAAAAUACUAAUAUCACACCUUCUAACUAAUGCACUCCAACCCCUUACACACAUCAGCACAGUGGGAAUCGCAGUUCUGAAGCACCACCAGAAACAUAGCGGAUCGUUGGGGAUCAUAGUUCUGAUGCACCACCAGGGACAUAGCGGAUCGUUGGGAAUCAUAGUUCUGAAGCACCACCAGAAACAUAACGGAUCGUUGGGAAUCAUAGUUCUGAAGCACCACCAGGAACAUAGCGGAUCGUUGGGAAUCAUAGUUCUGAAGCACCACCAGGAACAUAGCGGAUCGUUGGGAAUCAUAGUUCUGAAGCACCACCAG
This is a long non-coding RNA of Oncorhynchus tshawytscha (Chinook salmon), 723 nucleotides long. The record is from Ensembl. NCBI's taxonomy places the organism in Eukaryota, Metazoa, Chordata, Actinopteri, Salmoniformes, Salmonidae.